This 429-nucleotide ribosomal RNA is filed under the name Bacteroidota bacterium. RNAcentral describes it as "Bacteroidetes bacterium partial 16S ribosomal RNA". It matches the Rfam family "Bacterial small subunit ribosomal RNA", at positions 355 to 776 of the family's 1533-position model. Lineage: Bacteria; Pseudomonadati; Bacteroidota. The record is from RNAcentral.
UAGGGAAUCUUCCGCAAUGGACGCAAGUCUGACGGAGCAACGCCGCGUGAGUGAAGAAGGAUUUCGGUUCGUAAAACUCUGUUGUUAGAGAAGAACAGCGCAUAGAGUAACUGUUAUGCGUGUGACGGUAUCUAACCAGAAAGCCACGGCUAACUACGUGCCAGCAGCCGCGGUAAUACGUAGGUGGCAAGCGUUGUCCGGAUUUAUUGGGCGUAAAGCGAGCGCAGGCGGUCAAUUAAGUCUGAUGUGAAAGCCCCCGGCUCAACCGGGGAGGGUCAUUGGAAACUGGUUGACUUGAGUGCAGAAGAGGAGAGUGGAAUUCCAUGUGUAGCGGUGAAAUGCGUAGAUAUAUGGAGGAACACCAGUGGCGAAGGCGACUCUCUGGUCUGUAACUGACGCGGAGGCUCGAAAGCGUGGGUAGCAAACAGG